GCGCCUCUCUCAAACACUCACGAGAAAAGAAAAGUCCUAGAGAGAGAAAGCUCGAGAAAGUUUGAGAGAGAGAGAGAGAGAGAGAAAUGGAGGCCUUCGUUUGCGAAACAGAGUCAUGGGUUUCUUCAAUCAAUGAAAUCCCAGAUGAGCAAACCAAUCAAUUGCUUCGAACAUCGUCAUCUUCUUCCGGAUUCACCCAAGAAACCGACGAGGAAGAAUGGCCGAAGCUUAACAGGUUGAAGAGCAAGAAGAAGAAGAAGAAGCAGGUUUUGCUUGAAGGGUACGUGGAGGCGGCGGACGACGAUGAUCUGUCGAGGACCAAGAGCUUGACGGACGAGGAUCUCGACGAGCUUAAAGGGUGUUUGGAUCUGGGAUUCGGGUUCAGCUACGAAGAGAUUCCGGAGCUCUGUAACACCUUGCCGGCUCUCGAGCUUUGUUACUCUAUGAGCCAGAAGUUCAUGGACGAGCACCAAAAGUCGCCGGAGAACUCUCCGGCCGCGGUCGAUUCGGUUUCGAGUCAAAUUGCCAGUUGGAAGAUCUCUAGUCCUGGUGACCAUCCCGAGGAUGUGAAAGAAAGGCUCAAAUACUGGGCACAGGCCGUGGCGUGCACUGUCAAAUUAUGCAACUGAGAAAGAUUUCGACUUAAUGGAUUAACCCUUUGAGGAAAUUUAAAGAAUUGAUGGACAACUUCUUCGAGAUCAAACACCUAUAUCGUCGACCUUGAUCUUGAGAUUGUGCUUAAUUGUUUUACUCUGUUAUGGCUCCUAUCAGGAAUGAAUGUUUCUGCUGUUCUAGAAGCUGUUGAUGAUGGAUGUAUAUUGAGGAAGAGGAAGAUGAAGAAUCUUUCAGCGGUGAGAGUCUCCAUUAGAGCUUCACCAAGUACUUGCUCACCUCUGCCUUUGCUGAGAUUUAUACCCUUUCGGCUGGAAUUAGAGACGCAGUUGGGGGGAGAGAGGACUGGAUGCCUUUGUCCUGACUGACCAUGAAAUUCCAUUCGUAAACUCGCAACUUCGUUUCUCUGAUUUGUUUUCAUGACAAUAGUUUCUCAUGAUUGUGCGAAGAACUGGAUUUUCGUAUUGAUGUCUAACGUUAUCGAAAUAUUCUAGCUGUUCUAAUUGAGUUAUAAAUGUUUCAACAGAGCAGUGAAACGAUGAUUUUCGUUUCGGAAA
This is an RNA transcript of Pyrus x bretschneideri (Chinese white pear), 1169 nucleotides long. RefSeq lists it as uncharacterized. The transcript is spliced from 4 exons. The record is from RefSeq and is a predicted model, not a curated record. NCBI's taxonomy places the organism in Eukaryota, Viridiplantae, Streptophyta, Magnoliopsida, Rosales, Rosaceae.